RNAcentral lists this ribosomal RNA (435 nucleotides) under Triticum aestivum (bread wheat). Its description in RNAcentral is "partial small subunit ribosomal RNA". The record is from RNAcentral. Lineage: Eukaryota; Viridiplantae; Streptophyta; Magnoliopsida; Poales; Poaceae.
AUGAGGAUGUUAUGUUUGUAUUUUCGACCCUGGAGCAGAGGACAAGGCUGGGGAUGUUCUAUCGGUUCUAAUAGAAGAACACGAAGUAUUUCUGAGCUCAGCAUGAUUGUGGCUGACAAAACUAGAGGUUUUCAUAGGGCAAAGCUGGUCAUCAUCAACCCGGGGCUCUACGUGGACGUGUUCUGGAUACCACAGCACCGGAGCUUCCCAACAUCCUUCAUGCUCUUUACCGGUAAUAAGCAAGCCUUGGACGAUGAUGACCAUGGCCAACACUUUCGUGAUUCUUGUGCUGUCGACGGUGCAUUGCUGGCGGACCAUCUUCUCUCAUCAAGCGAGGAUGAUGAUGAUGCCGAGGACCUGAGCUGUUGCUUGAUCAUCUAUUGUUGCUGGAUUCUUUCAACCCUCUUGGUUUGGAAAUCCUUGGCUGUCCAGUAG